RNAcentral lists this microRNA precursor (63 nucleotides) under Caenorhabditis briggsae. Its description in RNAcentral is "Cbr-Mir-36-o6_pre stem-loop". Lineage: Eukaryota; Metazoa; Nematoda; Chromadorea; Rhabditida; Rhabditidae. The record is from RNAcentral.
CGCUGGCUUUUUCCACGGUGAUACUCCAAAGCAAGUGGUUAUCACCGGGUGAAAACUGGUAGA